Molecule: long non-coding RNA, 1198 nt
Organism: Polypterus senegalus (gray bichir)
Lineage: Eukaryota; Metazoa; Chordata; Cladistia; Polypteriformes; Polypteridae
Exons: 3
Source: RefSeq, a predicted model, not a curated record
AGAAAAUUAAUUUAAUUGUCUUUAUCAGUUGCAAUCCUUAAGCCUGUGUAUCACAUAAGCUACCUCCCAUGGUGCUAAUGCAUGUAUUGAACACAUGAGCUUAUCUUACCCAGUUUACUGCAAUUUGAAUUCGUUUUUGCUUAUAAUGAGUACUGAAAACGUGUAAAGGUCCUCUGUCUUAGUCUACUUCACAUUUCACGCCACUUUUUUCAUGUGUGCAGUUUUAGUGAUUUUACUGUUGAACUAAUUAAAGUGUUUUAACUAUAGAUUUAACAAAUGCCUGUUGUGUCCAGGAAAGCCCCAAAUCCAAGACAUAGUAUAACACCAGAUGUUAUUUGAAUAAAGUAAAAGGUAUCUAUUCACACCAAGCAAAUCUUCACAAUCCUCCAGGUAAUCAAACACAUAAAAAAUACAAAUACAUUUCAUAAUUAUUCAUUCUACCCUUUACCUCCAGCUGAGUGUUGUCUGCUACCACCCUACUCUGACUCCCAUGCCACCCUGCAGGUGUUCUGAUCAGGUUCAGCUUGAAGAGACACUGCCACCUGUCAUGUGGGGGAAUGAUCUGCUCCUUUCAUUAUGGCCUCCUGGCCGGGCAUGAAUCCUUCCUUUAUCCUGGCCAGGAUGCCAGUCCAUCCUCUCUGGCACUUACACUGUGUUUAUUUGAACAAGUAGGAACCAUGGAAGAUGCCAUUGGUAAUAGCCAUAAAAAUAGCAAGAGUUUUAAAAGCAUUGUCAAGUAUUUGCUUAAAUAACUAAGUGCCUGAUUGAUCAAUUUAAAACAUUUAAAAAAGAAAUGAAAAGAAAAGAAAAUUUACAUAUACCAGUAUUCUGAAUUUAGCUUUAUUAUUUCUUAGAUACGACGGUCAAAAACCUCCCUAAGUCACUCUACUCUGUGAUCGAGUUACAAAAUUUCAAAGGUACACCUCCUGUAACAGAUGGCAAAGUUGUAUGAAUCUUAAUUAUUUUGAAAACCAACAAGAAAUGAUUUUGCCAUCAGAAAGUUGUGAAAACUUUAGCCCUUCAAGAAUAGCACGCCAUUCCUCAACAGGCACUUUUAUGAAGCUGUCAAGUUGCCAUUGCCUGUUCUGGCAGUAAUGUCACCCUGAGUUUACCUGUAUGUGCAUUUACACUCUGUAUAUGAUUGUUAUGUUUAAAUGCUUCUGUUUGAAUAAGUAAAAUGAAAGAAGUUGUACUGUAA